GGCGGCGUGCUUAACACAUGCAAGUCGAGCGAUGAAGCACCUUCGGGUGUGAAUUAGCGGCGAACGGGUGAGGAACACGUGAGAAAUCUGCCUUCAACACUGGGAUAACUCCGGGAAACCGGGGCUAAUACCGGAUAUGAAACCUGCGGGCAUCCGCGGGUUUGGAAAGUUUUUCGGUUGAAGAUGAUCUCGCGGCCUAUCAGCUUGUUGGUGAGGUAAUGGCUCACCAAGGCGACGACGGGUAGCCGGCCUGAGAGGGCGACCGGCCACACUGGGACUGAGACACGGCCCAGACUCCUACGGGAGGCAGCAGUGGGGAAUAUUGGGCAAUGGAGGAAACUCUGACCCAGCGACGCCGCGUGCGGGAUGAAGGCCUUCGGGUUGUAAACCGCUUUCAGCAGGGAAGAAGCGAAAGUGACGGUACCUGCAGAAGAAGCACCGGCUAACUAUGUG
Molecule: ribosomal RNA, 453 nt
Filed under: uncultured bacterium
Lineage: Bacteria
Description: bacterial SSU rRNA
Rfam family: Bacterial small subunit ribosomal RNA
Source: RNAcentral